Molecule: long non-coding RNA, 638 nt
Organism: Canis lupus familiaris (dog)
Lineage: Eukaryota; Metazoa; Chordata; Mammalia; Carnivora; Canidae
Exons: 3
Source: RefSeq, a predicted model, not a curated record
GAGAUGAUUUCCCUGUGAGUGGGCCGGUCCUGAUAUCAUCCGGAAUUGCCAGAACAGUUGAUCCCCAGGAGCUUGACUUGGUGAAGGUUGGGAACUCAAGACAAUGCCAAUGAACAUUUAGCUCGGAGGAAUUUGGUCUGUGACCACAGAGCAAACAGCAAGACCAGGGACACAAGGUAGAGAAGAGUGAGUGGAAAACAUCUCAUCUGAUCUCUACACGGCCAAUGACUGUCGAAGGGGCGGUGCAAUCAGGUCCCUAACCUGCUGGGCCUGCCGCCAGAGGGUCCCGUCCAGGCUGCUGCAGGAGCAGCCCCAGGAACCAGGCCGGACCUCGAGAAGCCGAGGGAAGGGGAGUCGCGGGCUUCAGGCUUCAGAAAGAAGCGAGGCAGGGGAAAUCCCUUCUGGAAGGAGGGGUGAGGAGGUAGCUCCACGUGCCCGGUGGCUGCUAUCCUCGGUUUUACCACUCUGGAUUGUGAGGUCCUCGCGAGCUGAGCUCCUAGUUACCCCCGGAUAAUGCUCAGCAGGUGUCUGGCCGAGGGUGAGUCUUCAAGAGGGCGGGACAUUAACGCUGUGAUGUGAAGCUCUGCCGGUGUUUUUCUACAGUUCACACAAUCACCAGAAAGCCCGUGUCUUGGCAC